GAAAUGCGAUACUUGGUGUGAAUUGCAGAAUCCCGUGAACCAUCGAGUCUUUGAACGCAAGUUGCGCCCGAAGCCGUCAGGCCGAGGGCACGCCUGCCUGGGCGUCACACGCCGUUGCCCCCCAGCGCCUCCCUCGGGAGCGUCGGGGGAGCGGACGAUGGCCUCCCGUGCGACACCCCGCUCGGUUGGCACAAAUGCCGGGUCCUCGGCGACGAACGCCACGACAAUCGGUGGUCGUCGAACCUCGGUUGCCCGUUGUGCGCCUUCGUCGCGCUACGAGCGGCUCGCGAUAGCCAACGGCUCCGCUCCGACGGAGCUUUCAACGCGACCCCAGGUCAGGCGGGGUUACCCGCUGAAUUUAA
This 362-nucleotide unclassified non-coding RNA is filed under the name uncultured fungus. Its description in RNAcentral is "sequence contains ITS1". The stretch from base 1 to 107 matches the Rfam family "5.8S ribosomal RNA", at positions 50 to 154 of the family's 154-position model. Lineage: Eukaryota; Fungi. The record is from RNAcentral.